RNAcentral lists this ribosomal RNA (492 nucleotides) under uncultured bacterium. RNAcentral describes it as "partial 16S ribosomal RNA". It matches the Rfam family "Bacterial small subunit ribosomal RNA", at positions 29 to 507 of the family's 1533-position model. The record is from RNAcentral.
AGUGAACGCUGACGGUAGGCCUAACACAUGCAAGUCGAACGGCAGCACAGUAAGAGCUUGCUCUUACGGGUGGCGAGUGGCGGACGGGUGAGGAAUACAUCGGAAUCUACUUUUUCGUGGGGGAUAACGUAGGGAAACUUACGCUAAUACCGCAUACGACCUACGGGUGAAAGCAGGGGAUCUUCGGACCUUGCGCGAUUGAAUGAGCCGAUGUCGGAUUAGCUAGUUGGCGGGGUAAAGGCCCACCAAGGCGACGAUCCGUAGCUGGUCUGAGAGGAUGAUCAGCCACCUGGGAACUGAGACACGGUCCUGACUCCUACGGGAGGCAGCAGUGGGGAAUAUUGGACAAUGGGCGCAAGCCUGAUCCAGCCAUACCGCGUGGGUGAAGAAGGCCUUCGGGUUGUAAAGCCCUUUUGUUGGGAAAGAAAAGCAGCAGGUUAAUACCCCGCUGUUCUGACGGUACCCAAAGAAUAAGCACCGGCUAACUUCGUG